This 330-nucleotide ribosomal RNA is filed under the name Triticum aestivum (bread wheat). Its description in RNAcentral is "partial small subunit ribosomal RNA". The record is from RNAcentral. Lineage: Eukaryota; Viridiplantae; Streptophyta; Magnoliopsida; Poales; Poaceae.
AGAGCCGCACAUCCUGAUGAUUGGGAGCAGCGAGAGUUGGAUGGGCAAAUAUUAUAUGAAUCAUUAGGUGGCAUUCCCCAUGGGCGACUAGCAAUAGCAGGUGGGGCAAUCAAGAAGGCUGAUGUUAUCUCAACGGCUAGAGAAAAGAAAUUGAGGCUGUCAACUUCAGCAGCACAUCAACGAACUGUUCAAGAAAAUGAAGAGAUGAAGCGACAUAAUGAGAACCUGCAGCGACAUAAUGAGAACCUGCAACAUAAAGUGGAUAUGCCCUUUUUAAGGAGAUGGGAAAAGAACUACCAGCGGAGCUACGCCAAGGAGCGAGUUCCCAAC